This 256-nucleotide ribosomal RNA is filed under the name uncultured bacterium. Its description in RNAcentral is "partial 16S ribosomal RNA". It matches the Rfam family "Archaeal small subunit ribosomal RNA", at positions 474 to 728 of the family's 1478-position model. The record is from RNAcentral.
UACCAGCACCCCGAGUGGUCGGGACGUUUUAUUGGGCCUAAAGCAUCCGUAGCCGGUUCUACAAGUCUUCCGUUAAAUCCAACUGCUUAACAGGUGGGCUGCGGAAGAUACUAUAGAGCUAGGAGGCGGGAGAGGCAAGCGGUACUCGAUGGGUAGGGGUAAAAUCCGUUGAUCCAUUGAAGACCACCAGUGGCGAAGGCGGCUUGCCAGAACGCGCUCGACGGUGAGGGAUGAAAGCUGGGGGGAGCAAACCGGG